UUCCGGUUGAUCCUGCCGGACCCUACUGCUAUCGGGGUGGGACUAAGACAUGCGAGUCGAGCGUCUCUAGCUAUGUUGAGACGCGGCAGACGGCUCAGUAACACGUGGCUAACCUACCCUCAGGACAAGGACAAACCCGGGAAACUGGGGCUAAUACUCGAUAGGCGAAGGCGCCUGGAAUGGUUCUUCACCCAAAAGACUUGAAUACAUGCAUUCAAGUCGCCUGGGGAUGGGGCCGCGUCCGAUCAGGUUGUUGGUGAGGUAAUGGCUCACCAAGCCUUUAACCGGUACGGGCCGUGAGAGCGGUAGCCCGGAGAUGGGUACUGAGACAAGGACCCAGGCCCUACGGGGCGCAGCAGUCGCGAAAACUCCGCAAUGCACGAAAGUGUGACGGGGCUACCCCGAGUGCCAUCCGCUGAGGAUGGCUUUUCCUUGGUAUAACUAGCCGGGGGAAUAAGGAGAGGGCAAGACUGGUGUCAGCCGCCGCGGUAAUACCAGCUCCUCGAGUGGUGGGGACUAUUAUUUGGCCUAAAGCGUUCGUAGCCUGUCCAGUAAGUCUUCCGUUAAAUCCAACGAUCCAAUCGUUGGGCUGCGGGAGAUACUAAAGGACUAGGGGGCGGAAGAAGCC
This 628-nucleotide ribosomal RNA is filed under the name uncultured archaeon. RNAcentral's name for it is "bacterial SSU rRNA". It matches the Rfam family "Archaeal small subunit ribosomal RNA", at positions 1 to 610 of the family's 1478-position model. The record is from RNAcentral.